CCUCGAAGGUGAACAUCAGCAGGCUGAGCUCACAGCCCUUGGCUGUACCAGUGCUCAGCCUGAUGGAGCUUGAGAUAUUGCUACCAGCUCGGACUGACUGGGGUCUUUCCAUCAACAUGUUCAAGGUCCAGAUACAGGGAGGGAUGUUAAGUCCCAAUGAAGAUACUUUAGCCACCAGCCUUCGAAGGAUGAUCGUGUUGAAUUCCAAGUUGAAGUCGAUCAAAAACAUCCUGGCAUAUGAGGCAGCAUUUUCGAGGUGGGUCAGUACGGAACAGUGGGCUUGAGGCUAUGGCAUCAGUGAUGGACACAUUUGAGUGGUAUGUAGUUGGAAGAGGAAGCUGGAAGAUGGGAUUUUACAUGAUUCAUUACGAGCUGCUCAAAGCACUUUGUGAUUGUUGAGCUCAGUGCCAUCGGUAAUUCUUUAGGCCAGUUACCAUUGCUCUCUUGGUUGCUGGAAUUAUGGAGGCUGCCUUGAAGCCUGCAGGGACAGUGGACUGUUGCAAAGGGUUGUUAAAAAUGUCUAUUAAGAGCCCUUGUAACUGGACCGUACAGUCUCUCAGUACCUGACCGGGUAUGUUGUCCAACAUCGCAGCUUUGCAUGGGUUUACGCUGGCUUAUGUUCUCCUGGCAUCAUUUAAUUCAUCAUAUGGCUUCAGGGAGUGAAGGUCCCAGAGUCUAAUCCUGAGUGUUGCAGAAUUCACAUAAAAUCUUCUGUCUACCGCUGAGUUCAGUAACUUUCUCAGCUUGAUCUCUCUUGUGAAGGUGACUGUGAGAUUGUGGCAGAUGAUGGUGUGGAUUGGAUGGAGCUAAACCCAUUUUACUUUCUUCCUCUUCAAGGCAACUUGCUUUGGAUCACCUGGAAGUAAAAGUUUUGUAAAACUUUUAUACUGUGAGGCAACUACUGUGAUACCAAACGCGCACUACCUGAAAAUGCAAGAGCAUGAUUCUCGGGAGGUUCAAUGAAUUUGUGAACCACAGUACAGAUAAAAUGCAGAUUAUCUGGAAGAACUUGGAGUCACCUCUAAUUAUCCAUCUCCAGCAGGUUCAGUUCAAUAAGGGCUAUCAAGGCUCCUUUCUCAUGAGAUGUUAGUAGACAAAACAUGAAAAUGAUUGGCAAAACAACCAAUGGGGAAUAUAUUGUUUAAUACGGCGAAUAGUUGAAGUCGAGAAUGGCAAAGUUUGUACUGGGGGCUGAUUUAAAUACAGCAUUCAAAAAGAUUAAUGUGAAGCAUUUUAAAGUCAGUGAGUAAAAGGAGAAGGUGGGUCACUCAUGCAUAAAAUUGAUAAGACCUGAUGGGCUGAGUGGCCAUUUGUUUUAUUGUUCUUUUCCAUGCCUUUUGGUGCAUCAGGCAGCAACCUUGUUAUCUCCUUAGCAUUUUUGUCUUUUUUUAUGAGGCGGAGUUGCCACCUCAACACUCAACCCAGCACAGAUGGAAAGUGAGCCAGGAACCAGCUGAAUUUGAACCUGGGAUCACUUGCCUUAAAGUCCAGUGUGGACGCCUCUACACCGCUGGCUGGCUGAAAUGGCCAUGUGAAUCUCUAAUACUACCUUUGUUCAGGGAAACUUUAUCUGUGUCACGAAAAUCCCAAAUAAGCCUAUUUCUCCUGAUCUGUAACAUGGAUGUUCAGAACAGGAUUCAAAUUACACAGUCAUUAUCUUGGAGAUAAUCUUCUUUGCCACCCAAUUUGCAACCACCCCUUCUACUUUUAUCUUCCAUUCACCUCAAUUUUUAGCCACUCAAAACCCAAUAUCCAUAACCUUUUCCAACUCUUCUUUUAUGGUACCUCCUAUCUUCAACCCUCAUCUGUCUCAGGUGCAGAAGAUGGAAUCCGUAUGGCUUGCUUCUCCCUCCCACCUUUUAUCUACUCGCCCAUGGCACCCGACUCGGGCUCAGUUGUGCCUCACUUGAGCAGCAUGCGGCCUUUCAGUUCCAUGAAGUGGCCAAUGUAUUUGCCCUUUUUUUUUGGCAGGGGAAGAUUCAAACUGAAGAGGAAUUAGGAAAAUGUGCAAUUUUGUUGCAGGGUACUAAUGACUGAUUGAGUACGUAUAGCUAUUUCCUCUCACUCUGAUAAUAUCUGAAAUCUUCCUUCUGGCUUUUCCCUGUGUGGGGAAAGUUGCUCUCUCCCCAAUUGUGUUGCUGCAGAGUGGCAUCUGGGAGCGGAUCAGCUCCCUGUUACCCAUAGUUACUGGGCUGGACAGGGUGACUGGGGAAAAAUGGGAGAUAAAAUAACUUGUAAGCGAGCAGUUCAUACCUUUACAAAAAAAAAUAAAGUCACUGACUAAAUGAGAGUUUAGAAGGAACUUUUCAUGGAGAAUUGUUUAUUUAGGUAAUAAACCGGCACCUUGGAGAACGAACACUGAGUCUACAGAGUCUUUCAAAAAGGAACUGCAUGUGUUUUUGUUAGAUGAUUUAAAACUUAAACUUAAAGCAGACUGGUAGUAGAAAAGGUUAUGGUGUGGGAUGAGAGAACAAGAGAAUAAUGGAAGAGUUUCACCACAGAUCUGUCGGAAAUAAUGAGCUCAAUGGAAAUGGAAAAUGCUGGCAAUGCACAGCAGGGAAGCAAGCACCUGAAAGGAGAAGUGAUAGUUUAAAGUUUCAGUGCAAAAUAUUCCCUGAGACUGCGUUAGGAGGAAAAGUGAGAGCUUUGUGAUCGAACAGAAAGAGGGGGAGGCUGGAGGACACUGAACAGUGAGGAUCCAGUAGUAAGGAGAAGAAUUAAUGGGUUUAAUAGGAUUCAGUGAGCUUUGUAAAUUUUGUGCUAUUAAUGCAGAAUAUUCAGUUUUCAACAAUUAGUCAUAUUUAAGAUCCUAUAUUAACCUGAGGCACUUUUAGCUCAGAUAUGAAUCUCAUAAGUGCCAUACAAUACAGAAGUAGAACUAAUGAUUUUCAUUCUCAUAUCCCAGAGCAGUAAAUUUUAUCGUCUUGUACUAGCUUUCUCUCUCUCUCUCUCUGAGAUUGCCAGCUUUGUGCUGUUUUAUUGCCAGUUUCCUGUUGUCAACACAGUCUUUUGAUGAACUACAAAAGUGGCUCGCUGAAAUCACUUUGCAUACAAACUGUAUGGCCAUGUUUAGCCAAAGAGUCUAGAUUUUAUCCUGACUUUAAAGUCACUGACCUAACGUAGGGUAAUCCCUUUAGUAGAGAGGAGAUGAGUCAGAGGUAGGAUAAAGGGCACAUAUGUAAUCACAUUCCAUUCAAUAUCGCCGUACAUUCAUCUAGAUCAGGGAUUCCUAACCUGGGGUCCACAAGCUCCUUGGAUAACGGGAAGGCUCCAUGGUAUAAAAAAGGUUAGAAACCCCUGGUCAAGAUCAAUCUGUUUUAAUUGUAAUACCCUGACAGGAAUUUCAGAAAUAUUUUUGAUUUUAUUCUCUUUGUUUGGCUGUUUCACAGUGGAUCAGUAAUAUCAAUAAAUAUUUGUGAUUUUCUGCUUAGCAACUACUCUUCUUUUUGCUUCAUUCAUCUGGUUCCUUAUAGUCAAGGGUGGUAGUGGGGUUAAGCCUCCACUGCCUAUUAAAUACGUCCAGUGGUGUGUAUCUCAAAACCAAGUCGCACCCCUAGCCUUCACUAAGCUUGGCAGAACAGUUUCUACUGACAGGAGAAGAGGCAAAGUCAGGUUACUGGCACCUUAAAACAAGUCACUUAUGGCAGAUGGGGCUUGGCAGCUCAUCUAGGAGAAGGAAAGCUCUGAUCUCAAAGCUCCACUGCCUCGUGACUCUGUCCACUUAGGGGAAAGGCUUCGGGAGUAAACUGAGGGAAAAAUCCAGAGCUGGAGUCCCUAAGGCCGUCCUAUGUUGAGUUCAAUGCAGACAGGCAACUCUGGUGUUGGUGCCACACUGUUGGAUUCAUCAGCUUCGUGAAGAGGGAGGGCCUGUUACAUGACAACAGCUUGCUCAUAUCAUACUGCCCUUGCUUGUGUACCAUGUAGACAGCUGGGAUGCAAGGUCCAGGGAUGCCCCCAACCAUCAGAGGGGCUGUCUGAAGCUGCACUAAACACUUAAUGGAGCGGUGAAUUGCUGGUUCAAGGCCUGUGCCAACCAUGGGUCCUUUACAUAGAGGACUGAAGGAAUGCUCAAUUCCUUAAAUAGUUCAGAGGUGCAAUAGGUCCCAUAACACUUUUCACUGAAUCCAUUCCCCUCAUUUCAAAACGUAAUGCUUCAUAUGUGAAGCACGAGAAAAGACUUGAAAAGUAUAACUAGAAUCAUAGAAAAUUACAGAUUUACAGCACAGGAAGAAACCAUUUAGUGCACUGUCCUCAUGCCAGCUGAAAAUGGAUUUCAGGUUUGUCACAUUUUCCAGAUUUUGUUAACAAUUGUUCACCCAGGUCCAGUGUAAGUAUGGCAAGAUUUUCUGAGAGCAUUGGAGAUUGAUUAAAUAAAACACUUGCUCUUUAAUUUUAAUAUUAUUCUUUGACUGGGUUUACAGUUUCACAAUCAAUGCCAGGGUUACUUCUUGGAAAUCGGGACCGUAAUAGGUAUAGGAUUCCAUCAUGGAUUUGGACUAUAAUCUUAGUGUCCCAUCCUCUGUGAUUUGUAAGAUGACUGAAAAUCGAUCCUGCCAAUGAAAAAUAUUAUGAUUAAAUAAUUCAUUUACAGACUAUUGAAUUAAGGCUGAAUUUAAAAUUGAGCUUCUCUACACUAAAAGUAACACAGACACAAAAUCAUGGAGAACCUCUCGAUGGAGGAUCGAUGGAAGUAAAUAGAUAGUCAACAUUUCACGCCGUCCAUUCUUCAAGAAGCAUGAGUGUCAGUAUAGAAUCUGUUCUUUAUUCUAACAUUCUUCUAAUGUAGUUGUAUUUUACAUGACCUCAUUAAAGUAAAUUGAGAAGACAAAUUAAUGUAGAUACAAAAGUGAUUGCAGCACUAACAUAGAUGGAGUUUUGGCAGAUGGAUAUAGCUCACCAAUGAGUCCUUUCAUGUUUCAUCAGAAAAGUAUAACAAGAUAAUCAAAAUCUUCAAGAGCACACAGAUUGUCCUGUGAGAAGUUUGCUUCACUUUCUUUUAGUGGCACAUAAGGCAACCACAGUCUAGCUGAGAAUUCAGUUGUAACAUUGCCAGGAUGAAAAAAAAAUCAUCGAAAUCAGAGGAAAAUUGUAUGGAAACAUUUACAAACACUGAGUUAAUAGAAAACGGUGUUUUCUUCAGCAAUUUGCCUGGGCCUAAAGGUCAUUAUGAUCUUAACAGCCCCGUACACUGACACAAUCAUGCCCUUCAUUAUUCCUAUGGGGCACAUGGGACUUUCCUUACAGUAAAAUCUAGUCCAAGAAGGUAAAACAGCAACACAGGAACAAUUUAGAAACUAGCUGGAAAAUGCCCAAAGCCACAAUGGAAUCAGUGCAUAUGGAGCAAACAAACUUUAAAACAAAGGUAUUCAGAUUGUGGUCAUUGAGUCAUUUAGAAGCAGGCGGGUGAAUGAACUGAGCAAUACCAAAUGUAUUGUCUGCAAUCAGUCAUGCUGAAGAACUAAGCUUCAACUGUGCAAUCUCAGUGAAAUGUAUUUUGAAACCCCAAACACUGAUGUCAAAAUAUGAAUUUCCUAAACGUAGAACUGGGAAAGCAUAAAUGUUUCCACAUGCGUACUUUGGCAAGAGGAGGGUCUUUCAUGGCCCUAGGAAAAUAAAAAAUGUUUAAUACGUAGCCAUUACGAUGAAUGUGAUCCUUGACUGUUGCAAAGCAUCUACAGGUAAAUCAAGGGAAAUUGAAGCCAAAAUUUUCCCCUCCAACAGGUUAUAUCACAAACAAAUGCAUUUAGAUUUUCCCUGAAAUCUCUGACAUCUCUCAGAGUAAUUGCUUCUUGAAAUACCAGAAAAGUAAUGUAGUCUUCCAUUACAUCAUUUAAUUGGAUGGAGUGGAAGGUAUAUUCAUUUAUAUCAAUUACUUUAAACAUAUCUGGUCUCUUUCCUUUAACACAGUGUGCUGGCAGGUUUAGGAUAUUGCUGGCUUUACAUGGCAGGCUGACUUGGUUUCUCUUUGGGUGAAUUAGGGCAUUGAGGAGGAAGCUGAAGAUGGAUAUGAUAAAGGAUAUCUCAGGUAGGUGGCUCCAAAGAGCUGAAGAUUGAGGACUCUGAGUCUUCCAGUAGAUGGGUUCAAAAGGCUGGCACACAGCAGAAUUAUUUGGAACAGUGGAGGGUGUGAGUGGCAAUGCAAGACCACGGUUAAUUAAUGUGGCUGAGUGGACCAUUAGUAGGAGGGAUUUGAAGGUAAUUUUGAAAAAUGGUGCUUUCUAGAAGUGCAGUUCUCUGAUCUGGUAAACAGCAUUAGUGACUUUAUAUCUUUCACUGCAUUUAUUGAGAGCUCCUUUUGUUGAAACGUUUUAAACUGCACUCACACUUUUUGUUGCUCUGGUGUGUAACUUGCUGCCCUUUGGCAGGGUUGUUCAGUUUGAAUGUGCAGAAAGGAACUGAGCUAACGGCCAGUGGGGUAUUGAGCUUCUGUUCUGUUUCUGGACCUGUCACCAGGUCUGACAGUGGUGUGCUAAUGUGCUGAGAAGGAGGUUGAUUACUCUAUUUAUUUAUUUGUUUAAUCUAUUUUCUCUCUAUCUAUUUAUUUAUGCAACACGUAAAAAUGGUAAUGAGAGCUGCACAUGGCGCCCAAUUACACCCGUGUGACUAAUGAACCUACCGAUCCAUUCACCUUUGGAACGGGGUAGGAAACCAGAGCACCCAGAGGAAUCCCAUACGGUCCCGGCGAGAAUGUACGAUCUCCUUACCCAUAGUGGCAGCACUUCAACUCGGGUUGCUGGUAACCCUUAGCUUUAUGCCAGUGGUGGCUGGCACACAAACAGCAAACCUAUUGGAAAAAGAGAAGGGGAGGAUGUAGAGAAUAAAAAGACCCUCUGUAAUAGGGUGGAGACCAAGAGAGGCCAGCUGGCUCAAGUGGCAGAGGUGCCAGCUGAGGAGAAGCGCUGAAACCCAUAAAACACAGACAAUCUAUUUGGAAGAAGAAGAAAGGUUCAAAACUGAAAAGGGGCGCAAAGAUCAAUCAGGGCUCUAGGAUUCACACCAGACCGGGAAUACAGCUGGAUACCAGGAUUAUGCAUUAGAGCUGUCUUCCCCAACAUAGGUGGAUGAAAAAGAUCCCACAGGAUUUUUUUGGAGCACAAAGGUGUACUUCCUGGUGACUUCUUCAAAUAGCAAUAUUAAAGUGCUACUGGACCUGAUGAACGUUUUCAGAAGUUUCCAGUUUUAUUUCACAUUCCCAGUGAAAUGCUCUGGCUCCAUUGGCUGUGUAAAUCUAGGGAGGGCAAUCUCUGGUCUCACCAAACAUGCGAGCCUACCCCGAAACCCCCUGUUUGUGUGGAUGCCACGUGAUGUGUCACCCUGUUACAAAUCAGUACCAUGAAAUAACAGACAGUACACCGCAUGCAAUUAAAUGAUUUAGCUUUGUAAUUCUUAAUUUGACUAAAGGGUUAGCAAAGAAAAAGCAAGACAAAAGAAAAGGGCCCAUUUUAAUGAAACAGUCUAAUGUGCACAAGUUUUCCCUUUGACGAUCCUUCUUCGAUCUCCCUGGCCUUCGUCGGAUCAUGGCCCCUCUCCGGUUCGAGUCCUAUGACUUCUUCUCUCUGGUGUCUUCUCCCUUCAUAUCCUGCUGAACAAAAGACCCAGAUCACCCCGGUGUCAGGCAACCAACAUGAAAACACACUCCCUUCAAUGGACAGCUCAGAUUCCAAAGCCCCUGUUAUCUCUAACCAUAACCCAAACACUGUUUCUACAGAAAAACCAUUACAUUAGCAGUGAAAUCUUUCCCAGGGUGUUACACCAGGAUUCUUUUGAACUGAUGGAUUAUUCAAUCCUCUCUCAGUAAACUAACAGUGUAUUUCAUUACUAAUUUAUUUCAAAUAUAUAACAAGUUGCUAUUUCAAUCAAAACCAAAGCUUUAAAAUAGGCAUCAAUCUGGCUUCACAAUAUACAACGUAACAAAAACAUUGCACAUCCUAUUUGAUUCUGUCCACUUUACACUAUCACCCCAAUUUAAAAUAUUCCCAGGGCAUAGAACUACUCCACUAAAUAUCAGACAUCCCACCUCUUCCAGAAGUUCCGGGAGUCUCCCGUAUAUUGAUAGCAGGUCCCUGACGCCCACAAAUUAUAUACAAUAUCCCAGAAAUCGAUAUAUUUUUGAGAGCAAGAAAGAGAGAAAGCAAGAAAGAAUGAGAGAGAGAGAGAGAGAGAGAGAGAGAGAGAGAGAGAGAGAGAAAAAAAGGUCACAUAAAAUGCACUUCACCCCAGACUACACUAAAGUGUACCCCUGCCUAAUAGGGAUAAAAAAUAAUGACAGUGUUGCUCGCUGCGCUGUUUGCAACAGUGACUUUUCUAUUGCCCAUGCUGGGUUAAAUCACUGUUGAGGUGAGUUUAACAGGUGCCAUUCGUUCAUUAGCAUAGCUAACAUUAUUUAAACUAGCUGGUUAGCUGCUAAGGAGCUACUCUAUAGCAGUCAUCCCACUUCUCCCAGAAGUUCUGGGAGUCUCCUGCAAAUUGAUGCUGCUACCUCCCUGAAAUGAGUGUUUGCAGGGUGGGAUGUCUGAAAUAUUUUGAUUUCUCUGGAACAACCGGAAAGAAGGUCCAUAUUUAUGGUAUCAGUUCACCUUCAAUUAGCUCACCUUGACCCUUUGAAUACCCGGCCAUGAUUUUGAUCGACUGCACUGUCAGCUUGCCUUGUAAUAUAGCUUGCAGAUUCUGCACCUCAUCUCCCCCCACCCCCAGCAGUCAGACGCCAAGCUAACUCCACACUGGUGGCAUUAGAGCCACUGCCAAGUUUAGAAGCAUCACUGAAUUUGAGAAAUAGAAAGAAUCAGUGGCCUUCAGCUGGGUUCAAGUAGAAAAAUCGAUGACUGAGGUUUGUUAUUUUCAUGGGAAUAAGGUGGAAGUCACUGAAUGGAAUUAAAACCCAGCUUAAAGGCUUGGAAUCCCCUGUAAUAAAAUGUGGAAUUUGACUUGUUUAGUUACCAUAAAACAUUGGCGCUGCUGUCUGUACUUGAGUUGCUGAAAUACAAAUACAAACCAGCUGGGCUAUCAGUGACACUGAGUAAGUCUGCAGUAAUGUCUGGCUCACAGUGACUGGGCUCCGAUUACAGUUGGACUUUCUAGAAUUUAAUUUGGGUGAUAAUCCACAUUUAUUUCAGCCAUUUUAGGUUGAGUAAUUUUGGGUUUGUUCCAACAGAAUGCAUAAAAAGUGACCAUAAAAGGUAAAAGGGACCUAUCUGCACAUCAGGUCCACAGCAGAUACCAUUUUAUUGGCUCUUCUCUCAACCCUGGAACACCUGGAUGCCAAAGGUGCAUACAAUAGAAUGGCCUUUAUCGACUACAGCUCAGCAUUCAAUACUAUCAACUCCUCAAAUCUAAUCAAUAAGCUUCAAGACCUUUGCCUCAAGCCCUCCUUGUGUACUUAAAUCCUCAAUUUCCUCACUUGCAGACCCCAGUCAGUUCAGACUGGCAACAACAUCUCCUCCACAAUCCCCACCAGCGCAGGUGCACCACAAGGCUGUGUGCUUAGCCCCCUGCUCUACUCACUUUACACUUACGACUGUGUGGAUAGUCACAGCCCCAAUGCAAUAUUUGGUUUGCUGGCGACACCAUCAUCAUUGACUGAUCCAAAGGUGGUGACGUAUCAGCACAUGGGAGGGAGAUUGAAAAUAUGGCUGAGUGGUACCAUAGCAACAACCUAUCACUUAAUGUAGCAAAACCAAAGGGCUGAUUAUUGACUUCAGCAAGAGAAAACCAAGGUCCAUGAGCAAGGCCUCAGAGAGAGAUCAAAGGUGGAGAGAAUCAGCAACUUUAAAUUCCUUAGUGUUACCAUUUCAGAGGACCCAGCACUUAAGUUCAAUUAUGAAGACAGCGCGGCAGCGCCUCUACUUCCUUAGAAAUUUGUGAAGAUUCAGCAUGAUGACUAAUACUUCGACAAACUUGGUUUCCAAAGAUGAGUGAUGGAAACUAUAUUGACUAGUUGCAUCACAGUUUGGUAUAGAAAACAACAAUGCCACCAAACAGAAAAUCGCACAAAAAGAGUUAGAUAAGGUCCCAGUUCAUCACGAGUAAAACCCUCCCCAUCAUUGAGUACGUUGAUACAAAACAUUGUUGCAGGAAAGCAGCAUCCCUCAUCAGGGACCCAACAAUGCAGGACAUGCUCUCUUCUUGCUAAUGCCAUCAGGAAGAAGGUACAGGAGCCUCAGGAUUUAUCCUAGUAGGUAUAGGAACAGAUACUACCCUUCAACCGUAAUACUCUUGAACCAGAACAGAUAAUUUUGUUUAUCUUCACUUGUCAUCAUGAACUGUUCCCACAACAUACGGACUUGCUUUCAAGGACUCUUCAUCUCAAGUUCUCCAUAUUUAUUGCUUGCUUAUCUGUCUAUUAUUAUAUUUUUUCUCUUCAGUAUUUGCACGGUUUGUUGUCUUUUGAACAUUGGCUGUUAGUCCGCCCUGUUGGAUACAGUUUUUCAUUGAUUUUAUUAUGGUUCUUGGAUUAACCAAGACUGCUUGCAAGGAAACCGAUCUCAAGGUUGCAUAUGGUCUCAUGUGUACUUUGAUAAUAAAUUUACUUUGAA
This is a long non-coding RNA of Hypanus sabinus (Atlantic stingray), 10532 nucleotides long. RefSeq lists it as uncharacterized. The transcript is spliced from 5 exons. NCBI's taxonomy places the organism in Eukaryota, Metazoa, Chordata, Chondrichthyes, Myliobatiformes, Dasyatidae. The record is from RefSeq and is a predicted model, not a curated record.